Molecule: ribosomal RNA, 596 nt
Filed under: uncultured Ascomycota
Lineage: Eukaryota; Fungi; Ascomycota
Description: eukaryotic LSU rRNA
Rfam family: 5.8S ribosomal RNA (bases 224-377)
Source: RNAcentral
CUUGGUCAUUUAGAGGAAGUAAAAGUCGUAACAAGGUCUCCGUUGGUGAACCAGCGGAGGGAUCAUUACUGAGUUACACAACUCCAAACCCUUUGUGAACAUUACUUUUCUGUUGCUUCGGUAGGCGGCUCCAGGGGGAUGCCUUUGCCAUUUUUUUGGUGCCUACCGAAAGACCAAACUCUUUGCAACACUAUGUUUUCUGAAGAAUUAUACAAUAGCUAAAAACUUUCAACAAUGGAUCUCUUGGUUCUGGCAUCGAUGAAGGACGCAGCGAAAUGCGAUAAGUAAUGUGAAUUGCAGAAUUCAGUGAAUCAUCGAAUCUUUGAACGCACAUUGCGCCCGUUAGCAUUCUAGCGGGCAUGCCUGUUCGAGCGUCAUUUACACCCUCAGGACUUGUUUUCCUGGUGUUGGGGAGCCUGUAGGCAUAGCCUUCAAGUCCCUAAAAGCUAGUGGCGGGUUCUGUCAUAUCCCGAGCGUAGUAAUUUUUCUCGUUUAGGGUGUAUGGUUGACCCUAGCCUUACACUAUUUUAUUUCAAAGUUGACCUCGGAUCAGGUAGGAAUACCCGCUGAACUUAAGCAUAUCAAUAAGCGGAGGA